UUAGUACAGUGCACUGCAUACAGUAAGAACGCAAUAAAUACAAUUGAUUGAUUGACUGAUUGAUUUAUCAUCCCAGGCAUAUCCCAGGUGGCAAAAGCCCUCCAUUGAUUUUUCAUCGCAUCUUGACCAAAGGAAGAAAUAAUUCUAAGGAUCCUGAAAGAAAUUCCAGGACAAGGACGGUGACUGGCAGAGCAACCUCUUCCCCCAUGACAUCAAACGUAGGCAGAGGCUAGUGCUGACCUGGGGUGAACCUUCAAAAAAUCACAUGUUGCUGAAUAAGAGAUAGAAGCAUCUGUAUGAGGUUUUUUCCUGUGAUGAUGUAGAAAGGGAGAGAUGUUAAAAUUUAUUUAAUUCCUGUUUAGUUU
This 365-nucleotide long non-coding RNA is filed under the name Ornithorhynchus anatinus (platypus). Its description in RNAcentral is "lncRNA (ENSOANG00000040957.1)". The record is from RNAcentral. Lineage: Eukaryota; Metazoa; Chordata; Mammalia; Monotremata; Ornithorhynchidae.